GUACUGGGACGAUUCCGCGGAGCCGGGCAGAGGUUUUAGGGGUGCGCAGGAGUCAAGUGGUGGUUCAGUGGGGACGGUGAGGUGGAGGACGAUCUGGUCGGAUAGCCGCGGGCACGAACCUGGGAACCAGAGGGUGGAGGCCAUGCUGGGGACUGAUGUAGGGCGGGACCGACUGGAAGCGGCAUCCAGAGGCCCAGUGAGCCUCGGUCUCAGCUCCUGAAGGGGUUGCAUGGGGCCCUACGCUUCCUUCUCCAUUUUUUAGCUAAGAGAUUGAGAGAGUCGGUUUACUUUUGGGCUUGGAGUAUCAUUUAGAUCUGUUAACAGUACAGUUGAGAGAGUUGGUGUCUUUUGUUGAGGUGCGAGGACCCGAGGCGGCGACCCUCGCCUUUAUUCGGAGAAGCCCACUUCCACCCACAGAGUUGGGGUAGUCCUCCGAAAUGCAUUUUUGUUUUGCCGUUUGUUUUCCAACCCCCUUUCACUCUCCCCAAAGCUUCAGAUUCACUGAUUUUUCAUACAGGAAUGAUUAACAAAGGCGUCCGAAGAAAUCGUUGUUGGAAGGUGACCAAGGUGGAAAGAGACGUUGCUUUGGCCCUGCAAAGUCUGUCACACUAAGAUGAGAAAUGUCCUUUCUUCCUGAAGGUGUCUGAUGUGUAAAAAUAUGAUAUACUUUGUGCUGUUUCCUCCCUUCCCUUUUGCAUAUUAUUCUGAAACAACAUUAACUAGUUACUUUGCGUCAUUGAAGGUAUGCACUUCCCCUCUAUGUUAGGAGUGAAUAAAAUUAAAAAUAGAUCCUUAUAACAAAGAAAGGCAGAUAGAAUGAUUAAAAAUGACCAAAACAUGUUAGAAACAGUCUCUCAGGUGUAUGCAGAUGGUAAUUACAAAAAUACUUUUU
Molecule: long non-coding RNA, 892 nt
Filed under: Homo sapiens (human)
Lineage: Eukaryota; Metazoa; Chordata; Mammalia; Primates; Hominidae
Description: HSALNT0364150
Source: RNAcentral